Non-coding RNA from Magnetospirillum moscoviense, 156 nucleotides. NCBI's taxonomy places the organism in Bacteria, Pseudomonadati, Pseudomonadota, Alphaproteobacteria, Rhodospirillales, Rhodospirillaceae. The record is from Rfam.
GGCCCGCUGCGCGGUUCGUCAGGCAGCUAAUGUCCCUGGGGCGAUAAUGAUCCUCAUGGGAGCUGUCCCUGUCGGGGCCCUGGCCCCGACACAUGGUGCCCACCUGUUCACACAGGCCACGGAGGACUUACAACGCCAACGGCCGAGGCGGCACCG